UCAUCAUGGUUCAUUAUGCAUUCUGCGAUCCCUGUUGUCCCUGCUAGGAAACAGUUCCCACGGAGGUUUAGUGUGAAACAGAAGCCAUUGGUUCACACAGACCACAGUCAUUAAACUUGAUAUCCACACCUUGCCUCCACACAGCUCCCCUGAUUUCAUUUCUGCUGUGCUCAGUGGCACGCUGGCUGUUGGAGCACAGCCUCUCUGCAUGGCGUAGGAAAGGCAUGGAACCGUGGCACCGGAGCUAAGCCCUGGGCAGAGGAACAAAGGCUGAGAGAGAGAUAAGAGGAGCACCCCGUGCUUUGGGCUCCCUGGCAUGCUCCUGCCACCUGCUGGCGCCUUGGAUAAUCCUGUUUUUGCAGUGCAUUGGUCGUGCAUGCUGCUAAAUGAGCGCUGUGCAUUCUCAUUCCCAGUUGCACUAAAAGACAGAGGACGAGAGAGAAUAGAGGCUUGUGAACCUGGAGAUGAAAAUACGCCAUUAAUAUUCUGACUGACGAGUCGAGCUAAGCAGGGAAGCCAGUCAGAACCUGGAGACUCAGGGACUACCACCAGCCUCUCAGACAGCCAUACACACACAUGCCCAUCCAUUUGUGUGUGUGUGCAUGUUAAGAACCCCACCAUGGAGAGCAGGUUGGGGGUCGGAAACAGGGAGUCCCAAGGGUCGCCCAUUGUUCUCUUCCAUGGCUCCAGCGUGGUCUGGGCUGAGGACUUACUAGGGUGAGCCCCGGACAAUGUGCUCAUGUCUCCGCGGGCGUUGGACGCCAGCCACAGAACCUCUCAUCAACUCUCCACACCUCGUCAGCCACUUCGCACACACACACACACACACUGGCGCGGCUCGGGCGCUGCUGACUCCAGCCUCCCCCCUGCGGCGGACCCCUCUCGCUGUGCGAAUGCUCAUUAGCGUGAGGACAAUUAUGUAACACCAUCAGUCUUCAUCACAUCGCUCCCCGAGUGGUGCCGGCCAGGCAGCGGAAACAGACACACAGAGCUGUGGGACGGCAGUAGAACCUGGCUGAUAUCACCCGGAGCAGAUCUCUGGCUGAGUUGAGGAGUUAAAGACUUAGGGGGACAAGCAAUGGGCCAGCAGGGCAUGCGAUGUACACAUCAUUUGGGGAUGGGAGAGUGGAUCUCAGUCCCGAGCCCUGGUUUGCAAGUGGGUGGAUGGUGGAGGGAGCGGAGAGGAGAGAACACUGGCUAAACAUUUUAUCAGUGACCUUUGACCUGUGUGGUCACUCCUGCUUUGACAGGUUACUAACACAGAUGCGAGUCCUUGGUCAAAGUCAGAUGGAAGAGCUUGAUGGAAAAGAGGCGGUUUUAAUUUAUUAGGACCUUAAAUGGAGGCCUACUUCUGCCCUCUCAGCAGUCUGUAGUCAUGAUGAUGGAUCACCUCAGCUCUCUCUCACACACACACACAAACACGGACACACACACACGCACAGCCUGAGUGGACAAUGAGACCCACCCUGUAGUGGGAUCACAUGGUAAGUCUGACAUCAGUGCAUGUCUGACGCAUUUAGAUGGUUUAUUCAGUGUUCUUCAGCUGUCAGCCGUCAGACAGAUUUUUUUUAUACACCACACACAUGUGCCUGGCGGGAAUACAAAUAGAAUCCUACAGAGAAAAAGACAGUUGAUGGUAUCAACUGUGACACUGAAAGAGUCUACAGGUGGAUCUGGAAUAUUUUCCAAACUGUUCCA
Alosa alosa (allis shad) is the source of this 1698-nucleotide long non-coding RNA. RefSeq lists it as uncharacterized. The record is from RefSeq and is a predicted model, not a curated record. The transcript is spliced from 3 exons. NCBI's taxonomy places the organism in Eukaryota, Metazoa, Chordata, Actinopteri, Clupeiformes, Clupeidae.